Molecule: ribosomal RNA, 428 nt
Filed under: uncultured bacterium
Lineage: Bacteria
Description: bacterial SSU rRNA
Rfam family: Bacterial small subunit ribosomal RNA
Source: RNAcentral
CGAGAAUCUUCCGCAAUGGACGAAAGUCUGACGGAGCGACGCCGCGUGGAGGACGAAGGCCUUCGGGUUGUAAACUCCUGUCACGAGUUAAGAAGUGUAUGUCAUUAAUACCGGCAUGCAUUGACGAAUGCUCGAGAGGAAGCACUGGCUAACUCUGUGCCAGCAGCCGCGGUAAUACAGAGAGUGCGAACGUUGUUCGGAAUUACUGGGCUUAAAGCGUACGUAGGCGGCGUGACAAGUGUCGGGUGAAAUCCCACGGCUUACCCGUGGAACUGCCUGGCAAACUGUCAUGCUAGAGUGUGGUAGGGGAGAACAGAACUCAUGGUGGAGCGGUGAAAUGCGUAGAUAUCAUGAGGAAUACCGGUGGCGAAGGCGGUUCUCUGGUCCACAACUGACGCUGAGGUACGAAAGCUAGGGUAGCGAACGGG